RNAcentral lists this ribosomal RNA (117 nucleotides) under Sinocyclocheilus grahami. The record is from RNAcentral. Lineage: Eukaryota; Metazoa; Chordata; Actinopteri; Cypriniformes; Cyprinidae.
GGCCACAGCCAUAUCACCCUGCAGCCCAAGACUGGUUGCCCACUGAAGCUAAGCAGGGUUGAGCCUGGUCAGUACCUGGAUGGGAGACCUCCUGGGAAAACUAUGUUGCUGUUGGAA